This 26-nucleotide unclassified non-coding RNA is filed under the name Mus musculus (house mouse). Its description in RNAcentral is "oocyte_clustered_small_RNA3930". Lineage: Eukaryota; Metazoa; Chordata; Mammalia; Rodentia; Muridae. The record is from RNAcentral.
UGUAGCAACAGCUGUUCUUCUACCAG